UUAUCUGCGGAGGGUUCCUGGUGGCAAAGAACUUCGUGCUGACGGCCGCUCACUGCAAUGGAGAUGAGAUAUCUGUCCAGCUGGGAGCCCAUAACAUUAAUGAACAGGAACAGAGCCAACAGAAAAUCUCCGUGCGCCACCGGAUCCCCCACCCGCAGUACAACGAUGCAACCACCAACAAUGACAUCAUGCUGCUGCAGCUGGCAGAGAGA
Molecule: non-coding RNA, 212 nt
Organism: Chrysemys picta bellii (western painted turtle)
Lineage: Eukaryota; Metazoa; Chordata; Testudines; Emydidae
Source: RefSeq, a predicted model, not a curated record